This is an RNA transcript of Rhodamnia argentea, 2265 nucleotides long. It is a transcript of the gene named protein WHAT'S THIS FACTOR 1 homolog, chloroplastic, with no coding region annotated. The transcript has 2 exons. Lineage: Eukaryota; Viridiplantae; Streptophyta; Magnoliopsida; Myrtales; Myrtaceae. The record is from RefSeq and is a predicted model, not a curated record.
AUAGUAGUCGAGUCGAUAAAUGUAAAUGCUUUCCGUUGAAAGCCGCGGAGACCACCAACGACGCCUCCCCUCCUCCUCUUUCUCCUCCGGCAUCGACGGCGGCGCGGCGCGGCGCGGCGCCGUACCCUCCCUCCCUGACGACGCCUCCUCCAGGUACCUCAUCGCCUUCCAAGCAAGAGCCUGUCCAUCUCAGGCAUGUCUUUCAGAACUCACUCCUCCUUCACUCACACUCUGCAGAAGCUGAAACACUCGAACUCCAUGUCCUCCGAAAACCCUCCAUUCAGUCUUCAGAUCCGACCCAUUUCGAGCCUCAAAGUCGAGUGGCGCAAGGACCCGAAGCUUGACCAAGCCAUAGAAAACGACAAGCGCUACAACCUCUGCGCUCGGGUCGUCAAGGAGGUCCUCAACGAGCCGGGCCAAGUCAUCCCGCUCCGCUACCUCGAGAAGAGGCGCGAGCGCAUGCGCCUCAAGUUUACGGUAAAGACGUUCCUCGAUCGAAACCCGGGUGUACUCGAUACUUACUAUGAUAGGGUUAAGCCAAAAUCGGAUCCUGUCCCCUUCUUGCGGGCUAGCGAUAGGCUUAGGGGCUUUCUUGAGGAGGAGAAGAGGGUAAACAGCGCGAACGAGCCGUUGAUAGUGUCUAAGCUGUGUAAAUUGCUGAUGAUGUCAAAAGACAAGGUGAUCAGCGCGGAUAAGCUGCUUCAUGUGAAGAGAGAAUUCGGGUUCCCGAAUGACUUCAUGGUGAAUUUAGUCCCUAGGUAUUCUCAGUAUUUCAGGCUUGUCGGGGCCCCAGGAGAGGGAAAAUCCUUUUUGGAGCUGGUUUCUUAUGAAGCGGAAUGGGCAAAAUCUGUAAUUGAAAAGAGAGCGGAGGAGGAAGCAAGGUUAACAGGGAUUCGGGUCAGGCCUAAUUUCAAUGUCAAGCUUCCGCCCGGUUUUUUCUUGAAGAAGGAAAUGAGGGAGUGGACGAGGGAUUGGUUGGAACUUGAUUACAUAUCGCCAUACGAGGAUGCGUCGCAUUUGGACCAGGCUUCGGUUGAGAUGGAGAAGAGGACAGUGGGAGUCUUCCACGAGUUGCUGUCACUCUCGUUGCUUAAGAGGAUUCCAGUGCCAAUCCUGGGCAAGUUCACUGAGGACUAUAGAUUUUCAAAUGCAUUCUCGACUGUUUUCACUAGACAUUCAGGGAUCUUUUAUAUGUCCCUGAAGGGCAAUAUAGAGACGGCAAUUUUGAGGGAAGCAUAUAAGGACGGUGUCUUGAUUGAUAGGGAUCCCUUGCUUGAGAUUAAGGACAAGUUUGUUGAACUAGUGGAGAUGGGAUGGCGAGAGAGAAGAGAACGCAUGAGGACUCAAAAGGAAGAGUUUGAGAAGGAUAUUGAAAUGAUGGCAACCGGUAACAUUAGAACGCAUUGAGAGCUUUCUACUUGAAGAUUAUAUUCACAUUGCAGCUUGCGAUUAUUGACUAAUUAUGCUGGAAAUGAAAGGAAAAGAAAGUUCGUAUGGUUAAGCAUCAACCCCUACCAUCAUGCUUGUGUCACGGGCUGAAAGCUGACCGGGUGUUCCAGCUCAUCAGGCACUGCACAGGCUUGUCCUCGGGCAAGAAGCUUUCGGCCUGCGACACUUGCAUACAAUUCUCGAGUUUUGUAGGGAAGGCAAUUAUGAAAUGUCAACUGAACAUAUAGUGGACCAAUUGGAAACACUUAUGGAUACAGUACAAUGCUCUUUCCCAUUCAGAGGAACUUGCCCCAAAUGUAAUUGUCUUGUCUUCUAUCAUGUCGGUAUUAAAGUGGCUGGUUUCACUUGGAUUGACCAUGAUGGCUUCAGCAAUGCUGAAUUGAAGGCUGUGGUGUAUGCAUAUGACGUAGCGGGCUAUGUUGAUCGGGGCACGGUGCUUCUAUCAGACUCGCACAUCGGGUGUUUUCCAACUGGACAUAAAAAGCAGAGGGAAUCGGUAAGACUUAGCUCGCAGUAUUGAUGAACAGAGACGAAGAAUUGUAGUUAUAAGUAUUACUUCGAAGUCCGUAUGAACUUCCUGUCAGAGAUCUUUUGUUCAGCUCUAUUUAGUAGUCUCCUUUGUGUACUCUUAUCUGUUACAGGUUCUUGUCUUUCCUUUAUCAGUAAAUAUAUCUAGAAAGGAAAGCUAUAUGCACAAUCACAAGGGCAUAGCCUAGAAAAUGACCCGCUCUAUUAUCUAUAACCGAAACGAUUCAGGAACUAAGCAAGUAGCCAAAGAAAACUUAAGGUCAAUCAACGUCAAGAUACAUAAGCACA